Molecule: long non-coding RNA, 2966 nt
Organism: Phyllopteryx taeniolatus (common seadragon)
Lineage: Eukaryota; Metazoa; Chordata; Actinopteri; Syngnathiformes; Syngnathidae
Exons: 2
Source: RefSeq, a predicted model, not a curated record
GCGAAUGGUUGUUUGUUUCGAUGUGCCCUGCGAUUGGCUGGCAACCAGUUCAGGGUGUACCCCGCCUCCUGCCCGAUGACAGCUGGGAUAGGCUCCAGCACGGCCGCGACCCUAGUGAGGAGAAGCGGUUCAGAAAAUGGAUGGAUGGAUGUUCAAACAACAUCUAAGCGAAAAUAGUGGGACUGCCAUUGGAUGAUUAACAAAGCAAGGUGAUAAAAGCCUGGCUGACUGGCACAUCACAUCGUCUCACAUCAGUUGCUCAAUGUGUGGAUACAGAUAUCUUUUCUUCAAGACAUUAUAUGCUGAUUGCUACUAUGUUUAUUUUUGAAAAUCAGGAUUUAUUGUGUUGUUGCAUCCUCAUGAAUGGUAGAAAAUAUAAAACAUAAUGCAUUUUCAUGUAUUGUAGUUAUGAAAACCAGAUUAUUGCAGGAAAUAUACAACUGAAGCCACGCAUUACCCAUUGUUUUGAAUGGUGUGUAUACUAAACGCAGGAAAGCCUUCAAACUCUUCUGUCCUUAUGCUCCCUCAGCCAUUCUCACAAAGCUUUACCUCUGACUGGGCAUUUGCAAGGAGUUACCUGCGAUAUUCCAUCUCCUCCGCAGAACCGACAUGCUGUAUUCCUCUACGCCCACUGUCAACUCAUCAGCCUGUUGGCUUGGACAGGAAGGAUCAGUGACCGGCUUUAGUGUCAUUUCCUCUCAGCUGUCAAAAUAAUGGUGAGUCGCCCAAGGGCGGCUCUAACACUCUUGAGGUCAGUGUUGAGACCUUUGCAAGAUUAACGGCCACGUGUCCUGAAUCUGCUGGACCUUCUGAGGAUCCUUAGAAAUUACCCUGAACUAAGAACACAUUGAUAAAGAUCUAAAUAUAGCCUUUUAAUUUAGUAUAACCUUUUCCAAAUGUUUUUUUUUUUGUAACAUAUAUUCAAGUAGCUAAACCUUUCCCCUUGGUCUUCAUACAACAAUAUUUUGCUUUCGGGAACUAAUGCCUUCCUAAAAUAAUCUCAUGCUUCCCGAAAUAAUUUUGUGCACACACACAAGCAUGUGACCAUUGUUUUCAGAAUGAAGUGACUGGUGAAACAAUUGGGUGUGGCCUGAUAGAUAACAUGGUCUCACAGCUCUCCACUGAAUCAAGGGGCGGUUUCUCUGGGGGGCGGCACUCCAACCCGGUAGCCAUAUAUAAUUUCCCGCUCUUCUUCACUUGUUUUGCAUUUUCCCAGUGCCUCACCUAUUGUGAACCUCACUGCACAUCACUGCAGGAGACAGGACACUAUAUCAGGAGAGGUCAUGUGGAUCACACAGAGGAGAGAACAUUCCUUCUGACCAUAGAUUGCUUAAAUGUCUUUGAAGGGCACCAAACUGUAUGUACAUGUAGUGCAGACGACGGCAACUGACUCCUUGACAAAGGUCUAAGAGCCAUGGGUGAUGCAAUAAAUAGAACAAUAAACAGAUUAAUAGGCGAAAAUGAAGCUGCACACUUACCUUUGAUGCUUCCACAGUUCCAGUUCCUAUUGAAGUGGAACAGCGAUCCAUUUUUAACAAAACAGCCUUACUCAAAUGUAUAUAACCAGUUAUUUUCCCCCCCAAAAAAUCUAGACUUUCUAUCGGGCAGCAGACUGCCUGACAGCAGAGUAACAACAUGGUGCCCCCUGACACUGAUUAGUUAACUUGUUUAAUUCUUAUUCUCAAGCACCAUAUUAAUCAGACUACAGUGGAAUCCUGCAGGCUCGAGUUUGAGCACCUGAACUGUUUGUCGGUCAUUUGAAGGGCACACAUUAACAAGCAACCAUUCGCACUCACAGUCCCACCUAUGGGCAAUUUAAAGUUUUCAUCUAACCUAUCAUGCAUGUUUUUGGGAUGUGGGAGGAAACUAGAGUACUUGGAGAAAACCCACGCAGGCACGGGAAGAACAUGCUAACUCCAUACGAGAGAGAGAGAUAGAGAGAGAGAGAGAGCAAGAGAGAGAGAGAGAGAGAGAGAGAAGUUCCAGAAGAUGCAUGUUUUACAGUUAAAAAUACGGCUAAUGUUGCCAUAUGCACAGCCAAAACAAUAGCAAAAACAUCUGCAACUUAUCGCAAGGUGUUUUCUCAAGUUAAGUUCAGUAACGCCAAGGUUAAGAAUCACAAACAAUAAACAACCAUAAAACUUACAGUGUCAUGCACAAGGUACCCAGACCACAUAAGCUUGCAAAACACACUAUGGAUAUGUUGUACAGCUCAUUCAAACAGAACAUUGUGUCAGAUUAAAACAUUUUUAUGACUUACAAGGUAAAUGUGUGUUACGAAAUGACAAUUCUUCCUAAAUUAACUAAAUAUUGAUGUACAGCAUUUCUCCUAUGAUCAUUAUCAUGAUUUUUAUUUACUUGUUUCCUUUUUUGUAUAUGAGUUUUGUUUUCCAUCCAUCCAUUUUCUGAGCCGCUUCUCCUCACUAGGGUCGCGGGCGUGCUGGAGCCUAUCCCAGCUGUCAUCGGGCAGGAGGCGGGGUACACCCUGAACUGGUUGCCAGCCAAUCGCAGGGCACAUAGGAAGAAACAACCAUUCGCACUCACAGUCAUGCCUACGGGCAAUUUAGAGUCUCCAAUUCAUGCAUGUUUUUGGGAUGUGGGAGGAAACCGGAGUGCCCGGAGAAAACCCACGCAGGCACGGGGAGAACAUGCAAACUCCACACAGGCGGGGCCGGGGAUUGAACCCGGGUCCUCAGAACUGUGAGGCUGACGCUCUAACCAGUCGGCCCCCGUGCCGCCUUGAGUUUUGUUUUAGUGAUGAUAAUUCAUAUAAACACAGAUGGAACUCCUAUGAAAUAUCGUCACACAUUUUGAAAGUCUGUAUUAAGGGAGCCUCUCCUGUUGUGCUAACUCAUUUCGAUUAGCCUAGCUCGUAGCAUACUAACAAGCUUGGCAUUACGAUUUAGAUCAACUCGGUUGGUGAAAAGUUUCCUCUUUAAUAAACAUUGAACAAUAUAAGCAAACAA